Molecule: ribosomal RNA, 253 nt
Filed under: uncultured bacterium
Lineage: Bacteria
Description: partial 16S ribosomal RNA
Rfam family: Bacterial small subunit ribosomal RNA
Source: RNAcentral
UACAGAGGAUCCAAGCGUUAUCCGGAUUUAUUGGGUUUAAAGGGUGCGUAGGCGGCCUAUUAAGUCAGGGGUGAAAGACGGUAGCUUAACUAUCGCAGUGCCUUUGAUACUGAUAGGCUUGAAUAUACUUGAGGUAGGCGGAAUGUGACAAGUAGCGGUGAAAUGCAUAGAUAUGUCACAGAACACCAAUUGCGAAGGCAGCUUACUAAAGUAUGAUUGACGCUGAGGCACGAAAGCGUGGGGAUCAAACAGG